AACGAACGCUGGCGGCAUGCCUAACACAUGCAAGUCGAACGAGACCUUCGGGUCUAGUGGCGCACGGGUGCGUAACGCGUGGGAACCUGCCUUUAGGUUCGGAAUAACUCAGAGAAAUUUGAGCUAAUACCGGAUGAUGUCUUCGGACCAAAGAUUUAUCGCCUUUAGAUGGGCCCGCGUUGGAUUAGCUAGUUGGUGGGGUAAAGGCCUACCAAGGCGACGAUCCAUAGCUGGUCUGAGAGGAUGAUCAGCCACACUGGGACUGAGACACGGCCCAGACUCCUACGGGAGGCAGCAGUGGGGAAUAUUGGACAAUGGGCGAAAGCCUGAUCCAGCAAUGCCGCGUGAGUGAUGAAGGACUUAGGGUUGUAAAGCUCUUUUACCCGAGAUGAUAAUGACAGUAUCGGGAGAAUAAGCUCCGGCUAACUCCGUG
Molecule: ribosomal RNA, 433 nt
Filed under: uncultured bacterium
Lineage: Bacteria
Description: partial 16S ribosomal RNA
Rfam family: Bacterial small subunit ribosomal RNA
Source: RNAcentral